Molecule: long non-coding RNA, 1423 nt
Organism: Lepidothrix coronata (blue-crowned manakin)
Lineage: Eukaryota; Metazoa; Chordata; Aves; Passeriformes; Pipridae
Exons: 3
Source: RefSeq, a predicted model, not a curated record
CCACUUUUGACCAGACUGCAACAGCUCUCCCACCAGCAGGUUUUCUGAAGGUUAUCAUCUGCAAUUCUAUGAUUAUACUGGGGAAAGGGAAGAAAAAGGCUAAGUAUAAGCAUGAAGACUACUGUGCUGACACCAACAAGCUAUACAACAUGUAUUUGGUAUCCUCAUUGCUACCAGCUGAAAUUUAGAAGAAUUAGCAAAUAAACUCUUUAAAUGAACCACCCCAAACAUACAUUCAAGAAUUUUCAAAGAAGAAAGCAUUUCUCUGAAACCAACAAGCACUUCAAAAAACAAAUAAAAAAAAGCCCUAUUGAAGAAAAUGCUAAAUACUGCUCUCUGAAGAGAAAAAUAUGAAUGCUGAAGAGACAUAGGAACAUCAGUCUGCACUGCGUUAGCACAGACAAGUGUUCAUGCGGCUACAAAAAAGAGUGAACAAUAAAAUUACUGGUGGAAUGAGGAGAGCUUCAGCAUGCAAGACUCAAGCCACACUCAUGAACAAGGAAUCUCUAUUGUAUCCUUUGCCUUGCAUAGUGAGGAGAUUGCUAGGUGUUCACAAGAUUGUCUAAGAUAAUUUCUAGUUGCAGGUGGCAAAUGGAGAGACUGUUACUGUCUAUAUCUGGGAGAACAUCAAACAUUCACAUCUGGAUGUGAUGAAAAGGAAGGAAAUCCUGAUUAAAUACCUAGUGAAAAAAAUCCAGUCUUGCAAGGUGGAAUAUGCUAGCAAUUGUCACUGAGGUAAAGUGGAAUAACUGACAUGAGGGUCUGGACAGAGGACCACCCUCACCAUAACAUGGGAUAACAGAUCCUUAUGGUAUGAAACAAAUAAUAAGGCUUUCUUAGUAGGUAUGUAUAUAUAUAUAUGAAAUAAUAUAUAUAUAUGAAAAAACAGUUAUUAAAUAUAUUAAUUAUGCACGCUCAUAUAAAUGCUUCAUCUUGAUUGUGCUGCUCCCACAGCAGCUGUCCAGUUUUGCUGGACAAAAAAACCAGCUCAGAUGGCUGAGUUUUUCUUUUCAGUGAUUUUUACUUUCAGGCUCAUUGUGCUGUAAUACCUGGUUCUGAAAAGCAGGAUAAGGUUAUGGAGGUCUGGUGGGCUUCAGGUUUCUGCAUCUUCAUGUAAAACUUUCAGUUGUUAUUUUGGUUUUCUAAAUGGUUGUUUUGUAAACAUCUGUACUACAAGGUAACCUUCUAGUACAAAGGACCUUUUCGACCCAAAGACACAUUUAAAGCAGUGGACGGUCCGUUCCUAUUCUCCUGCCUGGAAAUGUGAACACUUUACAAAGAAACAACAGUUCAAACAGCUCUCUCCUAUGCUAUCCCCAUUUUCAUCUUCCCUCACAACUAAUCUCCAGAAGAAAGCGUGCAACUUCUGCACUGAUACAAAACUUCAAACACAGAUGGCUUUUUUUGCUCACAUUGUUACUGC